RNAcentral lists this unclassified non-coding RNA (200 nucleotides) under Chytridiomycota sp. RNAcentral describes it as "partial internal transcribed spacer 2". The record is from RNAcentral. Lineage: Eukaryota; Fungi; Chytridiomycota.
UUAAGUUCAGCGGGUUUUCUUGCCCGAUUUCAGACCAAGUUCUUAAAUUGUUGCCCGACAGCAAGGCUGUACAAAAAGGGCGAUUCGGAAAGGCCUUGUAAAACGAGGUACCUAAAGACCCGUGCACAAAGAGAGUAACAAAAUCAAUGAAGAUCACUGUUGCUGCUUUGCAAGGUCCGUUCAAACGGUGACCCCAGCAU